Neopsephotus bourkii (Bourke's parrot) is the source of this 1505-nucleotide long non-coding RNA. RefSeq lists it as uncharacterized. The record is from RefSeq and is a predicted model, not a curated record. The transcript is spliced from 2 exons. Lineage: Eukaryota; Metazoa; Chordata; Aves; Psittaciformes; Psittacidae.
CUGGAGCGAACGGCCCUUCCGUGGAUAGAAUCUCCCCAGUUUUCCAUUGAAAACUAUUGCACAGCCUGUGUUGUGAUCUCACUCCUGUGAGCCAUACUCAAGUGAGUACUCUUUAUGAUGCCAGAGGGACUACUCUUGUAGAGGGAUGGAUGUAGUUAAAAAUCCCUGCUCACUGCUUUGAACAUUUUUAGUGCUGCAUUCUCAUUACAUUAGCAUAGUAUGGAACAUGUAAAGACAUGCUUCAGUUUGGAUGUUUACUCCCUAGGUUGUUUUUCACAGAUGGUUUUAUUUUCGGGUUUCUUAGUUGUCCCUCUUCCAAGGUGUGGCUAGUUAUUUUGACUCAAACAGCUUUUGGCUUAAUAUCAUCUAUGUAAGCUCCAUUGCCAUAUUUUAGUACUGAUGAUAUAAAUAAAUAAAUCAUUAAUUACAAUGUUUCUUUGUUAGUUUUGUUUGGAAUUUUUGCUUGUAAUACAGAGAAAAUGUUGAUAUACGAUUAAUAUUUUAUACCACACAUACUUAGAGAUUUAAAUGUGAUUGAAUAAUGAAAGAUUAUUUACUGUAGAAGUGGAUUUAGACUAAAUUCACUAAUCCAAGUAUUUACUCAUUCCCACUUUUUGUUAUCUGUAUGUGCAGAAAAAUAUUUGUGAAAAAAAGUAACUCCAAGUAACAAAAGACAAUGAAGAAACAAAUGGGAGAAGGACUGGAGCCACACUCCACUAAGUAUUGCAUAAAAAUUUUGUAGAGCUCAUUCCCAGUAAGAUUCAAGUUCAAGAUUUGUAGUUUGGUCUUACAGGCAGAUGUCUGAAUGCUUCUGAAAACAAAUGCCAUUGGGAAUGACUGUAUUUCAAAUGGAACCAAUUUAUAACAAAUGCUGAAGCUUACAGCAGUGUUAAAAACCCUUUUAUCUCUAGUUGUUCACAAAAGACAUUAAGAUAUCUGAAACAUGUAUUAAGAAGCCACAACAUCUGCUGUGGCAGGUACACCACUGGGAAAUGGGAAAAAUAUGAACAAGUACUUGAGCAAAAAACUCCUGCUCUAUUAAACGUGGCUCAGGGAAUGAAAUCUUACUGGAACUUAGCAAUGUAAAAGACAUUAAAAUGGCUGGGGUGGAAAGGCUUCUUUGCUCCAUGAGUUGUAUUUAAGGACACAAAAAAUAUUUGGAGACGGAAGAUUUUGUUGUCACAUGUCCCUAUUUUACAAGGAAAUCAGGAAUGUAUUACAACAAAAGAAGAAGUCCUUCAUCCCUUAUUCAGAACUUCUGUAGAGCUUUUCAGCCUCAUGAGGACCAAAGGGGUCUAUUCAGUCAGUUAUCAUUUGCUUCAAUCAUGGGCAAUUUACCAGAGAUUACUUUGCAGUAUCUCUGAAUAGGUAUAAUAUUCCAAAGAAUGGAAAUCAAAUCAUCUUUUCAGGACUCCAUUUAUAAGCUCUUCUGUGCCCCUCUCUGUCAUGCUGUCAACUCAUCCUAGUUUCAGUUGAAUCUUGAAAUAAAAAAGAUUCACAAGAGA